Molecule: non-coding RNA, 200 nt
Submitted as: unclassified sequences
Source: Rfam
UCUGGAUAAACUUGUAUCCAUCCAAGAGAAUGGAACAAGUCACUUUACGGAAGUUAAAAUGAGUAAACCAUUUUAGGAUUGAUACAGACUUUUAUAAAGUGAAAUUCUGAAAUGUUGGGGUAACCGUAUGUCCUUUAACACUAUUUGUGUUAUAAAAAUAAUCUUGAAUAACUUUGAUUAAGUUUUUGAGUUACGGUGAG